GACGCGCGCAUCUUGUACGCUCUUCGUUACCAGUCAGCAUUGCUUUGCUGUACUGCGGUUUGCACUGGUACGCCGGUAGGCCUGCGAGGUUUUCCUGACCAGUUCACCUCCGGAGCCUGUGCAUUGUUCUCGUUGUGACUAGAGGUUGGCAGCACGACGUGCCUGCUUCAAUCGUGGUUGCUUCACCACCACCACGUCACCGUCAGGGGCCACUUCAACCUCGGGAAUCUUAAACUUGCUUUAAGUAGAGUGGGCACGUAUGCGUGCUUCCAGACCGUGUGUUGGUGUGCGAGCUCAGGAGAAGCAGACUAGCUAGGACCGUAGACUGUUAGGUUUAGUAUUCACUGUCAACGCUGUGAUUCAGUCUAGAAUUCACUGUCAUCUGUCGUUUCUAACUUAGUCCAUUGAUGUUUCCUUGAGACGCCUUCAGGUGUCUGAAUUUGAAAAAGUUACCUGCUCAUAAACUUCCUAAAUUGUUAAUUCUAAUGUUAGUUAUUCUUA
Long non-coding RNA from Hyalella azteca, 501 nucleotides. RefSeq lists it as uncharacterized. The record is from RefSeq and is a predicted model, not a curated record. The transcript is spliced from 2 exons. Lineage: Eukaryota; Metazoa; Arthropoda; Malacostraca; Amphipoda; Hyalellidae.